Molecule: transfer RNA, 69 nt
Filed under: Neisseria meningitidis NM3131
Lineage: Bacteria; Pseudomonadati; Pseudomonadota; Betaproteobacteria; Neisseriales; Neisseriaceae
Description: partial tRNA-Asn
Rfam family: tRNA
About the family: Transfer RNA (tRNA) molecules are approximately 80 nucleotides in length. Their secondary structure includes four short double-helical elements and three loops (D, anti-codon, and T loops).
Source: RNAcentral
UCCCCGAUAGCUCAGUCGGUAGAGCGACGGACUGUUAAUCCGCAGGUCCCUGGUUCGAGCCCAGGUCGG